This 354-nucleotide unclassified non-coding RNA is filed under the name soil metagenome. RNAcentral's name for it is "partial contains 5.8S ribosomal RNA, internal transcribed spacer 2, and large subunit ribosomal RNA". The stretch from base 1 to 120 matches the Rfam family "5.8S ribosomal RNA", at positions 35 to 154 of the family's 154-position model. The record is from RNAcentral.
GAUGAAGAACGCAGCGAAACGCGAUAUGUAAUGUGAAUUGCAGAAUUCAGUGAAUCAUCGAAUCUUUGAACGCACAUGGCGCCUUCCAGUAUCCUGGGAGGCAUGCCUGUCCGAGCGUCGUUUCAACCCUCGAGCCCCCGUGGCCCGGCGUUGGGGAUCUGCCCAGGCAGUCCCCGAAAACCAGUGGCGGACCCGUUACAGGCCCUUCCCUUGCGUAGUAGCAUUCGCCUCGCAUCGGGAGCCGGCGGGCUUCCAGCCUCUAAACCCCCAUCGAGUCCGCCCCGGCGGCACCAAGGUUGACCUCGGAUCAGGUAGGAAUACCCGCUGAACUUAAGCAUAUCAAUAACCGGAGGA